CACAAGUUUUCUUGCAAUGGGAUCCUAACAUUCCACCAUGCUUCGCAGCCUUGGCACCUAUGCUGGCUGGCUUUGCGCUAGCUUGAUCUAGCCCCGGGAGAACACUGCUAUUCUGGCGUCACCACCUGUGCUGCAUGAUUGCAACUCGGAGUCAUAGUGGACGGCUCUGAUACCAUUAAUAUGAAUUUAGGAGAACCAUACCCUAAAAGCUAGCUAUUGAGG
Molecule: unclassified non-coding RNA, 222 nt
Filed under: Hevea brasiliensis (rubber tree)
Lineage: Eukaryota; Viridiplantae; Streptophyta; Magnoliopsida; Malpighiales; Euphorbiaceae
Source: RNAcentral